RNAcentral lists this long non-coding RNA (1922 nucleotides) under Bemisia tabaci. RNAcentral's name for it is "lncRNA ENSSSA1UGG002957". The record is from RNAcentral. Lineage: Eukaryota; Metazoa; Arthropoda; Insecta; Hemiptera; Aleyrodidae.
CUUUUUUUUCCGUUCUUGUUCGUUGAGGGGGCAAACUUUCGCAAUCGUUAUUACCGCUAACCCCCAUUUGCAAAGUUUUGAACUAUUUAUCGCUAAGUUUUUAAUCUAUUUUCGCGUAACCGCCCGUGGAAGUUGAACCCUAACCUCACUGCGCCCUCAUCGUGUCAGACAUUUUAUGUUACUUAUGGAUUUGUAAAUUUAUAGGAACCUGUAAAUCAUUCUAGUUGAAAAUAAUUUUAUUGUAGACUUUAGUACAUAAUGAAUGAAGUAGAAGACGGUCGCGUCUACAGUCUAGUAGUGUUCACGUCCAAGAAAGGAGAAGAAAUAGUCAGCACCGUCCCAGCAACGUGGGUUGACGAGGAAAGAGAUGAAUGCAUCUGGCCGAAACAGUCUUCAACAAAACUUAUUGAAACUUGCUGCCCACCCCCGAAAAACCACGGCUGGAAGAGUUAUCCUGUUACCGUGGUGCGCAGUAACAUUGAAGGUUUUGGUAAAGCCAGAACUGUCGAGCGGAAUUACAUCAAUGAGAAAGAUACGAAUCUCAGCGAAAGUUCGCCACUCCCUGAAAGGCGAGCUAAAAUACCUAAGACAGUUUACUCCCCUACCUUGUCAACUGCCGGUGCGGAUGAUACUGAAUCGGAUAACUCACCAUCUAAGAGUUAUUACCUAAGAGAUAGUCGAAGCCCUCUCUCCAAGACAAAGAAAUCCUCUGUUCUUAAUCUUUCUUUUGAAGGAGAUUCAUCGGUUUUUCCAAUGAGCUCAACAAGUUCUCCAGAUAAAUCAAAGAAGCAGCCGUCCCCAGUGAUUAAGUAUCCGACACCUCCAUCUUUGGCACACAGUGUAAAGUCACCUUGCCAUCAGCAAAAUCGGGCAUUGCGGAAAUUAUUCCAAAACAAACAUCUAGAAACUUUAGAUGAAGGAAACCGUAUUUGUGAUGAAGAUCCUAUGUUUCAGAAACGUUCAAACAGUAAGAAAGAUGCAGUACAUACUGUACAGAGAGAAAAACGAUCUAAACCGAAACAACAGUCACAUGUCCUCCCACCGAGUCCGUUAAAUCUGAACCAGAGAUGUUCAUCAAAUCUUGAAAAUUCUACGCCGAAGGAAGAUGUUAAUUGUGGACCUGAUGUCUCAGAAGAAAAUGUUUCUUCGAAUUCUGAAAUUCCUUUGCAAGAAGGGAGCUCUAAUGAUGGUACUUCAUCCAGUAACUCCACAGCGAAGUGCCGAGUUCCUCAAUUCAAAGCCUAUUGGGAUAAAUUGGAUGACAAGGAGCAACUUUAUUUCAUUGGUGGUUGUUGAGCUGCUGAGAAAAGUUGUUAAAGACGAUCUACCGGAAAUAGCACGAGGAAUGGCCAGGUUCUUGUAUACUGAUGAGUUCGCCUGCAAUUACUCAUUGUACGGUUUCAAAAACAAACAAAAUUUUUCAUCCCUCAAACUCACCCAACUACUGUUCAGUAAGUAUUCCCUGGUUUCUUCACAUCUUUAAUGAUUAUCAUAAUUUUUCAACCCCACCAAACUGAAGAGGAUGCCAAUUGUACUCCCAGAUUUUUGUAGUCCAAAGGAAAUUGUAAAGAGUAUUAAAGAAGACACCGAAUUAUCCGAUUUUACAGAGAAAAUAGAAAAGAUCUUUAGCCACCUGGCAGGAUCAUAAGUGUGCAAACGUUGAGAGAUGUUAAUAUUCUUGGGAUUGGAUGUCAUUGGCUAUUUGACCUGAAAAGUAACUUCCUCAGUGUCCCUACCUAAACACAUCUUAUAGUUAGAACCUCCACUUGUUAAGCUCUUUUUGUAAUGCUAUGAUAAGUUUACAAAAUAAAUACAAUUAGGACUGCACGCAAACUUGGUGAAAAUACUUUUAAAUAUAUAAAAAUUACUCACAUGCACGAAAAUUAAAAACCGCAGAAGCGUUUCAACCGUUCAAGACAGCC